RNAcentral lists this ribosomal RNA (445 nucleotides) under Hannaella sinensis. RNAcentral describes it as "partial large subunit ribosomal RNA". It matches the Rfam family "Eukaryotic large subunit ribosomal RNA", at positions 209 to 648 of the family's 3401-position model. Lineage: Eukaryota; Fungi; Basidiomycota; Tremellomycetes; Tremellales; Bulleribasidiaceae. The record is from RNAcentral.
AGGGUGACAAUCCCGUACUUGACACGACAACCGGUGCUCUGUGAUACAUUUUCUACGAGUCGAGUUGUUUGGGAAUGCAGCUCAAAAUGGGUGGUAAAUUCCAUCUAAAGCUAAAUAUAGGCGAGAGACCGAUAGCGAACAAGUACCGUGAGGGAAAGAUGAAAAGCACUUUGGAAAGAGAGUUAAACAGUACGUGAAAUUGUUGAAAGGGAAACGAUUGAAGUCAGUCGUGUCUGUUGGUUUCAGCCUUUACCGGUGUAUUACCAGCAGACGGGUCAACAUCAGUUUUGGACGGUGGAAAAAGACAGGGAGAACGUGGCACCCUCGGGUGUGUUAUAGCUCUCUGUUGCAUACACUGUCUGAGACUGAGGAAUGCAGCUUGCCUUUAUGGCCGGGGUUCGCCCACGUACAAGCUUAGGAUGUUGACAUAAUGGCUUUAAACGAC